This is a long non-coding RNA of Haliotis rufescens (red abalone), 626 nucleotides long. RefSeq lists it as uncharacterized. The record is from RefSeq and is a predicted model, not a curated record. The transcript is spliced from 2 exons. NCBI's taxonomy places the organism in Eukaryota, Metazoa, Mollusca, Gastropoda, Lepetellida, Haliotidae.
UGAUAUAAAUUGUAUACAAGGGUUUAUUUUACAGACCUGUUGUAAAUCAAUAAUAUACAUUGAUAUUAUCAUGAUUAUAACAGGCAGGAUAUUCAAUUACUUUUAUGAUUAUAGUAUCUCCUCAACCUGAUGGAGCAGUUUGCAGAGCUCGAAGCUUCAAGUCAAUAAAAAAGAAUGAAACCCCUUAUCACAUGAAGAUCUGGAUCAAUACAACCGAUUCAACUCUCAUUGAGCAGACUUCAUGUAAUUGUGAAUCUGGCCAGGGCAAAUGUAAUCACGUGAUUGGUUUACUGUAUUUGUUACAACACUAUCAAUCCCUUGACUUAAAAACAGUGCCACCUGCAUUGUCAAAAACAUCGCUGCCACAAACAUGGCAUGUUUCACAAAGAAGUAAAGGCCUUUUUGCCAAAAAGGUAGACCAAAUCACUGUUAAAAAAAUAAAAACACCUGCCAGUGGAUCUGUUACAUCUAAGUCAUCAACAGAUACUACCUCUUCUACUGCCUCUACUUCAUCUGCUGCCUCUACUACAUCUGCUGCCUCAACUACAUCUGCUGCCUCUACUAACACUUCCUCUGCUUCUCCUACACUUACUCACUCAUCAUCUUCCAAUGCGAAACCUGUCCCU